GAUGAACGCUGGCGGCGUGCUUAACACAUGCCAGUCGAACGGAAAGGCCUCUGCUUGCAGGGGUACUCGAGUGGCGAACGGGUGAGUAACACGUGGGUGAUCUGCCCUGCACUUCGGGAUAAGCCUGGGAAACUGGGUCUAAUACCGGAUAGGACAAUGGUUUGGAUGCUGUUGUGGAAAGUUUUUCGGUGUGGGAUGAGCUCGCGGCCUAUCAGCUUGUUGGUGGGGUAAUGGCCUACCAAGGCGUCGACGGGUAGCCGGCCUGAGAGGGUGUACGGCCACAUUGGGACUGAGAUACGGCCCAGACUCCUACGGGAGGCAGCAGUGGGGAAUAUUGCACAAUGGGCGCAAGCCUGAUGCAGCGACGCCGCGUGGGGGAUGACGGCCUUCGGGUUGUAAACUCCUUUCGCUAGGGACGAAGCGUUUUUGUGACGGUACCUGGAGAAGAAGCACCGGCUAACUACGUG
This 467-nucleotide ribosomal RNA is filed under the name uncultured bacterium. RNAcentral describes it as "partial 16S ribosomal RNA". It matches the Rfam family "Bacterial small subunit ribosomal RNA", at positions 28 to 507 of the family's 1533-position model. The record is from RNAcentral.